RNAcentral lists this ribosomal RNA (262 nucleotides) under uncultured bacterium. Its description in RNAcentral is "partial 16S ribosomal RNA". It matches the Rfam family "Bacterial small subunit ribosomal RNA", at positions 512 to 773 of the family's 1533-position model. The record is from RNAcentral.
CAGCCGCGGUAAUACGGAGGGUGCAUGCGUUACUCGGAAUUACUGGGCGUAAAGCGUGCGUAGGUGGUUUGUUAAGUCAGGGGUGAAAUCCCGGAGCUCAACUCCGGAACUGCCUUUGAUACUGGCAAGCUAGAGUCCGGAAGAGGUGAGUGGAACUCCUAGUGUAGAGGUGGAAUUCGUAGAUAUUAGGAAGAACACCAGUGGCGAAGGCGGCUCACUGGUCCGGUACUGACGCUGAGGUGCGAAAGCGUGGGGAGCAAAC